This 253-nucleotide ribosomal RNA is filed under the name uncultured bacterium. RNAcentral describes it as "partial 16S ribosomal RNA". It matches the Rfam family "Bacterial small subunit ribosomal RNA", at positions 524 to 776 of the family's 1533-position model. The record is from RNAcentral.
UACGAAGGGUGCAAGCGUUAAUCGGAAUUACUGGGCGUAAAGCGUGCGUAGGUGGUUUCUUAAGUCUGCUGUGGAAGCCCUGGGCUCAACCUGGGAAUGGCGGUGGAUACUGAGGAGCUAGAGUGCGGUAGAGGAGGGUGGAAUUCCCGGUGUAGCGGUGAAAUGCGUAGAGAUCGGGAGGAACAUCAGUGGCGAAGGCGGGUCUCUGGGCCGAAACUGACGCUGAGGAGCGAAAGCGUGGGGAGCAAACAGG